UAUUUUAAACAGGUUUGCAAUUUUUUUUUCAAGGUAACAGAAUAUUCUGAAUUCAGGAAAGAGUUUAGAGAGGUUAUUGCCUUCUUAAUAAUUUAGAGCUUCUAUUGCUCUGCCAAGUCAGAAGAUUAACAUUUAAUAGAAGAAAAUUAUAUAUCUGUAAUUCAGUCAUGGCUAUAAGAUCAGAUGGAUUUUACAUUAAGUGAAAAAGAUGUCGAGCAUUUAAGGACCAUUAAACUACAGGACUCUUUUAUUGGGUUUUAAGGCCUCCGAGCCCAGGUCCUGCUGUGAAGAGUAUUUAUUUUUACAUGUACAGAACACACUAAGGAUGGGAAAAGGGCAUACAUUUUAAAAGAAAAUAGGCCAUGAAAAAGUGUGAUUUUCUACAUUGUGAACAGCUACCAUUCAGAUUUAAUCUUUUUAAAUAAUAAUUAGUUUUAUGCAUCAUUAAGUAGCUUUCUUACAGGCUGGAAGAAUAUGGUGAAGUCCACUUUAAAAGUGGUACCUGCAGGAAAUCCAAGUAGCUGGGUACCCUCUGUUGACAUUUCACUUUGAGGAACCACAUUUCUAAUAGUUUCCAGGUAGCUCAACAUUGUAAAGAAUUUAAGUUUGAAAAUGCCUUCUCCAGUGGUCCUUAAGGACUAUGAAAACAAAAGACCUAGAGAGAAGUGACUUCUAAUAAGCGUCUACCUUUUUCUAGUGAUGCCCACAUUGUCAAGGAAGGACUGGAAUUUGACUCUUGAGAAGAACCACUUACCUACGGGGAGAAAUUCUGCACCAUCCAAAAGUCUGCACCAUCCCUUUCAUUAACCAAUGCAAAGAAGUGAACAUCACAUAUGUGAGGCACAGCAUCCAUUAGGAAGAGCACAGUUAUUCCUGGUUGUGAAGCCGGCCAGCCUUUCCCCCAUGGGUCCAGCACAUCAUUUCAAACCGGAGUAAAAACUCCCUUUGGGGCACAUGCCAUGAGAUAAACAGGGUGCAUCUUCCUAAGUGCUUCCAUCGGACUUGAUGCUCCCUGCCAGGUCCCGCUGAUAAGGAACACUAAAGGGAGACCAGAAGACAGGAGGAUGGAGAAGGGUCAUACUCCUGUGUAUUUGCUGUUGCUGUCAGCGUUACCCUGGCAGCAGAGUUGGGUCCAGUUUCCAGUGUUUCUCUAUGAUCCCGCAAUCAACCCAUCACACCCCAUCAGAGACAGCCUUCGGACCUGAACUAGAACAUCUGCUCUCCUGGGUCUCCAGCCUGCCAGCCCAGCCUGCAGAUUUUGGACUUGCCAGCCUCCAGAAUUAUGAAUUUAUCCUCCCAAACCAUGGCAUGAAUGAGUAAAGAUCAUCCUGUUUCCAUGACAUCCUACUCCAAUCCCCCAAACCCAGAGCAAGCCUGGUCAGGGGUGGGGAGUCACCAUGCAGUUGAAGAGCCCUGACCCAACCAAGUGAUGUCACAGGAGCUGGUCCAGGAUGGAGAUCCUGUCCAUUUGCUGGUGGCCAGAGUCACAGGGUCACAAGCCCUCCAGCUGCUUGACUCAAAAGGGCGCCCAGGGCACAGCAGGCUUGGGCUCUGUGGUUCUGUCUGGGGUGAUUUUGCUUCCUGAGGACAUCUGGCAAUGUCUGGAGACACUUGUAGUUCUUACCACUGGGGAGUGGGUGCUACUGGAAUCCAGGGAGGAGUGGGCAAGGAAGGCUGCUAAACAUACUAUAGACCAAGAAUUACCCAGCCCCAAGUCUCCAUAAGGCUGAGAUUUCAAAACCUGCCCGCCAUUAGAUCCCCUGGUCGGUCUUGCAGCAGGAGGGAUGGGGUCCUGAGGGUCCCACCUGUGGAAGUUCCUUGGCCGGUAUGCCCCUGUUCUAGAGGAGAGGCAGGUUUCUCCAAGGCCAGGUGGAGAGAACCAGCCCAGUCCACCCCAGGCGCUGCAUUUCCCAGGAGCUGGGAGGAAUUAAGUUAUAAUAUACGGACUAACAUUGAUACAGUGUGUGACAGGUGACAGAGUUCUUCCUCUGUGCUGGGGUUCAGUACAGGCUGGGGUCCUCUGCACUGCCGCCCAUAUUGUUGGGGUCCUGGACAGGUUGGGGGGAAGGGGAAAGGCUAUAUCUGCUUCUCAUUCUUUCAUGAAACGAGUUCCUUGUCAUAAACUCCCCAGUCUCCCUUUGAUCACAACUCUGACGGUUCAAACCCUUCAUGUUAUUGCAGGUUCCACUUGUGGGUAGGAGGCCUUCCCCAGCAGAUGUGGAGGCAAACAUACUCUUUCUCCCCAUGCUGUGGUAUCCUGGAGACUGGUGAGCCGGAGCUAGGAUGCCAUGAC
Molecule: long non-coding RNA, 2293 nt
Organism: Lagenorhynchus albirostris (white-beaked dolphin)
Lineage: Eukaryota; Metazoa; Chordata; Mammalia; Artiodactyla; Delphinidae
Exons: 6
Source: RefSeq, a predicted model, not a curated record